ACUGUGUGGAAGUCAACGUUACAACAAUAGAGCUGUUAAACAUAGGCCUCUCCCUUGGGGAGUUUUGCCAGUAGUUGCCACGUUUGGCAUUGGUGAUGUUUUAAGAGGGACGCUGCUGCCCAUCCCUCACCCUCCCUUAGUCGCCUCUUACAUCACCCACUGGAAAGGAAUUCUACGCUGGGACCACACAGCUAGAUAGUACGAGUGAGCUCAAGCGCAUCUGCGGUGCGAGCGGACUCUACACAACUUCUUUAUGGCUUAAUAAACGAAAUAAAUCCAGUUUUUAUAAUAUUAA
Long non-coding RNA from Galleria mellonella (greater wax moth), 295 nucleotides. RefSeq lists it as uncharacterized. The transcript has 2 exons. NCBI's taxonomy places the organism in Eukaryota, Metazoa, Arthropoda, Insecta, Lepidoptera, Pyralidae. The record is from RefSeq and is a predicted model, not a curated record.